AGUUGGCAACAUUGGAGCAGUCUUUAGAGCAGAGCAUGUUCGGGAGCCUGACAUUUUACGGACUUUACUUGUUAACACAGCUUAGAAACUGCGUUUUAGAUCAUGUGUGCAGGAGGUCCAGGAGAACCACUUUACAGAGCAAUUCCAUCUCCACCGUUUGUGACAUGGGUAGGCCCAAGGCCCCCCUCAGCAUCCGUUUAUGGUACACUUAAGGCCAUUGCAAAAUGAUACAAGAAUCAUAGGCUACAGUUGGUAAAAUACAUGUAAUAGCUGUUUGUAUAUCCGUAUUUGUAAUUUUGUGGUUCAAACCUUCAAAACUACACCUGUACUCACAAUCGGGGCACCAGCACCAAGACGGACAUCUGUGUGGUUUGUUUCCGUCGCGACCACUUCCACCCAGGUGUCAGAGAGCCUGCUGGGGUUCUACAGGCCAGAGUGAGAGCUGCUGGACCGAGGAAACAUGGGCAUUGUCUUAAUGCUCCAGCCAAUCAUCACAUAGAGGUCAAAAGUCACUGCCAAAAGCCCGCCCCUCUGUGUGGACACCACCCACCUGCUGUUCAACCCCAGGAGGGGUGACGUGAAACUGGCCCACCUGGCCAUGUAUUACCCUUUCUAUGAGCAUAUUAUAUAAACUACAACGCGAAAGUGUGCGCAACAUUGACAACAGUGUACGGUUAAAUCUCUCCACCAGUAAUGGCCGUCAUAGUGAAUGGACCAAGGCGCAGCGGGUACGUGAAUGCUCAUGUUUAUUUUACAAAAUAAAACACGAAAACAAUGAACGGAUGACAAACAGUCUUGCAGGCAACACACAGCUAUGCAAAGAACAACCUCCCACAAUUCCCAUGACAAA
Molecule: non-coding RNA, 850 nt
Organism: Salmo salar (Atlantic salmon)
Lineage: Eukaryota; Metazoa; Chordata; Actinopteri; Salmoniformes; Salmonidae
Source: RefSeq, a predicted model, not a curated record